RNAcentral lists this ribosomal RNA (546 nucleotides) under uncultured bacterium. Its description in RNAcentral is "bacterial SSU rRNA". It matches the Rfam family "Bacterial small subunit ribosomal RNA", at positions 355 to 894 of the family's 1533-position model. The record is from RNAcentral.
UAGGGAAUCUUCCGCAAUGGGCGAAAGCCUGACGGAGCAACGCGCGUGAGUGAAGAAGGAUUUCGGUUCGUAAAGCUCUGUUGUUAGGGAAGAAUGAUUGUGUAGUAACUAUACACAGUAGAGACGGUACCUAACCAGAAAGCCACGGCUAACUACGUGCCAGCAGCCGCGGUAAUACGUAGGUGGCAAGCGUUGUCCGGAAUUAUUGGGCGUAAAGCGCGCGCAGGUGGUUUAAUAAGUCUGAUGUGAAAGCCCACGGUUCANCCGUGGAGGGUCAUUGGAAACUGUUAAACUUGAGUGCAGGAGAGAAAAGUGGAAUUCCUAGUGUAGCGGUGAAAUGCGUAGAGAUUAGGAGGAACACCAGUGGCGAAGGNGGCUUUUUGGCCUGUAACUGACACUGAGGCGCGAAAGCGUGGGGAGCAAACAGGAUUAGAUACCCUGGUAGUCCACCGCCGUAAACGAUGAGUGCUAAGUGUUGGNCUCAUAAGAGAUCAGUGCUGCAGCUAACGCAUUAAGNACUCCGCCUGGGGAGUACGACCGCAAGUU